CUGUCACAGCGAAACUACAGCCAUAAUGCUCUUGUCGUCAUAUGCGACCGAGCGCCAUCGGCAUCAAUUCGGAAUAUGCUUUUAACUUGUAAACGUCUGUUGGUCUCUUGGCGUGUAGAAUGCAAGACGCAGUCUGGUAAAUUACAUGUUUUUUCCUGCCUUUACAGCUUUUCUGACAGUAUAAAAAUGUUAACGUCUUUGCAUUUACGUAGCGAGGUGGUCCGCUAUGCAUUUUGUUCCUGAACCCGUGCACGAGCUCUGUUACGACAAAGGUAAGCGCCGUGUUUUGGAUGCUUGAUCCUCAAGUCCCAAGUGCGAUCCAAAAUGUGUACUAGUGACCCGAUAUAUAUCCAUAGUUCUCUGAACUGCCCUCAUGACGUGCCAUCAUCCCGCUUGCACUGGACGGACUUGCUUUGUCGGACAAUUAAAUGAGAAAGUGCUACUGAUAAGUGACGUUCGUGAUUUCGCAUAUGCAUGUAUCAGACUUUGCCUGCCUCAAAUUGUGUGACACAUUAUCUCCUUAUAGUGUUGUCACUGUUGCUGCAUGUACACUGGAGAUUUGUAGUAUAUCUGUUUUCAUACCUGUUAGUGUGGAUCUACUUUCUGCGCUUGGAUCAGACAUUAAUGGACGCAGAUGGGUGUUUUCACUGUUUUCGCUUCCUUCUUCGUGCACAUUCCUUUCUGUUAAACGUGUUUGCAUACACUGAGAAAAAUUUCUCUGUUGUUGUUAACAGGAAAGUGCUGAAAAAAAAUAGUCCAGGAGUCCUGUUAACUCCGUUCACUCACUUGGAAGGAUUUCUUUCUACAGUUUAAUCGCACGACUGGAGACAAGUCGCAACUCGCCACUCCGGAGUCAACGAACACGUACGAACACCAGUGACAACCUGGCGUGACAACCUGGGAACACCUGACGUACGAACACCAGUGACAGCGUCUACUUUUCGCCUGCGGGGUGACAGGUACAAUUCUCACACUUUGAGGGAUGUUUGCCUUCUACUGUUAGUUCUACCGCGAGUACCCGCACCCUCCUCUUCGAAUCAGCUUCGUCGUCCUUACUGAUUGUGCCUGUCUCAUGGCACUGAACAUGGACCACAAUGAGGCAUGCUCCAUCCACGGUACCAGGAGCACCGGAAAACCCGGAAGAGAGCCUGAGAGCGUCGUCGCCAGUCAUCGAGUGAUCGUGGAACAAAGAGCAAGUCCUUCGUGCACGCGCAUAUAAUCAAGAAUAAGAGUUCUAGUCCAGA
This is a long non-coding RNA of Ornithodoros turicata, 1244 nucleotides long. RefSeq lists it as uncharacterized. NCBI's taxonomy places the organism in Eukaryota, Metazoa, Arthropoda, Arachnida, Ixodida, Argasidae. The transcript has 4 exons. The record is from RefSeq and is a predicted model, not a curated record.